RNAcentral lists this ribosomal RNA (468 nucleotides) under uncultured bacterium. RNAcentral describes it as "partial 16S ribosomal RNA". It matches the Rfam family "Bacterial small subunit ribosomal RNA", at positions 28 to 507 of the family's 1533-position model. The record is from RNAcentral.
GACGAACGCUGGCGGCGUGCUUAACACAUGCAAGUCGAACGGACAGACCCGGCUCUUGCGGGGUGCUCGUGUGGCGCACGGGUGAGUAUAACGUGUGUAACCUGUCCUUAUCUUUGUGAUAACUCCUGGGAAAUGGGGCUCUUAUCGGGGAGGAUCUCCUGCUGCAUGUUGUUGGAUGGUGAGUUUCGGUGGUUGGGGAUGGUUUGGCUGUUUAUCAGCUUCUUGGUGGGGUAGGGGCUGACCAGGGCUUCGACGGGUAGCCGGCCUGAGAGGGUGACCGGCGACAAGGGGCCUGAGGUACGGCCCAGAAUCGAACGGUAGGCAGUAGGGGGAAAUCUUGCACAAUAGGGGGAAGCGUGUUGCAGCAACGCCGCGAGCGGGAUGACGGCUUUCGAGUUGUAAACAGCUGUCGCCUGUGACGAAGCGUGAGUGACGGUAAUGGGUCAGGAAGCACCGGCUAACUACGUG